This 207-nucleotide long non-coding RNA is filed under the name Linum usitatissimum (flax). RNAcentral's name for it is "long non-coding RNA (LUSI_LNC005242)". Lineage: Eukaryota; Viridiplantae; Streptophyta; Magnoliopsida; Malpighiales; Linaceae. The record is from RNAcentral.
AGGAAGAAGGAUGAGACGAAGGUUUUGGUAAACUGGGAUGGUGCAGAUUAAGGCUACGCAGGUGGUGGUGGUGCAUGGUUGAUGAUAAGAUGAAAUGGAUGGUGUAGAUUAAAUUGGAUUAAAAAUAAAAUUUAAAAUUCAAAAUGAAUUAUUAAUUAUCUAGUCAAAUAAAUCUACUUACAUGUGGCAGGUGAAACGAUUAUUUUU